Populus trichocarpa (black cottonwood) is the source of this 760-nucleotide long non-coding RNA. RefSeq lists it as uncharacterized. NCBI's taxonomy places the organism in Eukaryota, Viridiplantae, Streptophyta, Magnoliopsida, Malpighiales, Salicaceae. The record is from RefSeq and is a predicted model, not a curated record. The transcript is spliced from 2 exons.
UGUAUUCAACUAACACUUCCACACAAUCGGUGGUCCUUUCAGUAGUUUAUUAUCUCAGCCGUCCAUCAAGUUUAAGGUUAUUUUCAUGGAUGGUUAAGAUCGCUUUGUGGUCAUUGACUUAAGAAUCCGAGCAUGCAGCCAGGGUCAACAGGCCCCCUGAGUUCAGUGUUCUAUCAACAGAGGAAUGCCAAACUUCCAUUGUCUACCUUUUUCUAGUUUUUUCCUAACAUUUCAAAAUUAUAUCAAUUGCAUCCUUCCACUGCCCGAUUGUUACAAAACUUGAGGUAACUACUUAGUUAGAAAUCAUGGCGUUCGAGAGGGGAGUAUCAAUUGUUGUGGUUGAUCCAUCAGAGGCCUAUAUAAUUCUAAGAUGGCUGAAGCCAUGGCGUUCAAGAGAGUGCUGGAAUAUUUAACAGCUCAGAAUUAUAAGGCAUGCCUGAAAGAAGCCACUAGCAGUCUUCAAUUAUUAAAAAAACGGUGGAGAUAAUAGAAAUUCAUCCCAUAAUUACUUGCUAUCAUUCUAUCCAUCCACCAAGCCACAUGUUCAAUCAAGGGUUCAAUUCAAAAAUCAAGAGUGAGAUGAUAUUUUUUUAUGAACUUUUACUGGAUAUGAAAUAAUUUAGUUUUGGCAUGUACAAGCCUGACCAAACAUAUACAUGAGAAUCAAAUAAAAAAAUCGUCAAUGAGUUGUAAUUCAAUGUACAGUGAUAUCCCUGUUUUCUUCAAUAAAUCUGAAUUCUCAUGUGCAAUAAAAAAAAAA